UUCUCCUGGUGCCUUCGCUUACACUCGCUGUGUUUUGGUCACGUGGCCGGCUAUGGCUCUGGGCGCGGCGCUUGUUUUGGUUUCUUGCUGGCUCCCUGGGCCCGCGGGCCAGGCGCUGGGUGGGCAGCUUUCCUGCCCCAGCUUCAGGUCCCUCCUGCACUCCAGCUACCAACCCUUAGCUACCCCGUUCCUUUGGAGCCGGCUAGCGCCAUGCCGCUCCUCCGCUACUGGAAGGUGGGGCUCCCAGGAUACCGCUCGACACUUCUUCCCGCCUCCCCUAAACACUCACAGAUCCAUCACCAUUCUUUAAAAAUAUUUGUUGGGAGAUUCAAGGUACUGUUCCAGGUGCAGCAGAGUCCUUAGCCACCGACCAGUCUCCCCAGCUUACAGCAAGCCCUUGACUACUGUCAAGAAUAAGUUUCAUCUACACUUUGUGGACACAGCCAUUUGGAGAGGGAGGUACUUCGAGUGGUAGCCCUAUCCCUGGGACAGUGAUGUGUUACAGCUUCUCUGCCUGUUCAGUUGAGAAGAAUGAAAAAAUAAAGUGUCAGUCCCUAAAAA
This is a long non-coding RNA of Phascolarctos cinereus (koala), 561 nucleotides long. RefSeq lists it as uncharacterized. Lineage: Eukaryota; Metazoa; Chordata; Mammalia; Diprotodontia; Phascolarctidae. The record is from RefSeq and is a predicted model, not a curated record.